CCAAUAGCGUAUAUUAAAGUUGUUGCAGUUAAAAAGCUCGUAGUUGAAUUUCGGGAUCAGUAGGUUGGUCGUGCCACUGGUAUGUACUGGCCUUACUGGUUCCUCCUUCUUGUAGAACCGUAAUGCCAUUAAGUUGGUGUUGCGGGGAAACAGGACGGUUACUUUGAAAAAAUUAGAGUGUUUAAAGCAGGCUAACGCUUGAAUCCAUUAGCAUGGAAUAAUGAAAUAGGACGAUCGAUCCUAUUUUGUUGGUUUCUAGGAUUGACGUAAUGAUUAAUAGGGAUAGUUGGGGGCAUUAGUAUUCAAUUGUCAGAGGUGAAAUUCUUGGAUUUAUUGAAGACUGACUACUGCGAAAGCAUUUGCCAAGGAUUUUUUCAUUAAUCAAGAACGAAAGUUAGGGGAUCGAAGACGAUCAGAUACCGUCGUAGUCUUAACCAUAAACUAUGCCGACUAGGGAUCGGAUGAUGUUAAUUUUUUAAUGACUCAUUCGGCGCCUUACG
Molecule: ribosomal RNA, 500 nt
Filed under: uncultured Glomeromycotina
Lineage: Eukaryota; Fungi; Glomeromycota
Description: partial small subunit ribosomal RNA
Rfam family: Eukaryotic small subunit ribosomal RNA
Source: RNAcentral